RNAcentral lists this ribosomal RNA (608 nucleotides) under Ischnura prognata. RNAcentral describes it as "partial large subunit ribosomal RNA". It matches the Rfam family "Eukaryotic large subunit ribosomal RNA", at positions 1389 to 1940 of the family's 3401-position model. Lineage: Eukaryota; Metazoa; Arthropoda; Insecta; Odonata; Coenagrionidae. The record is from RNAcentral.
UCGCGGCGGCGUGCGCAGAAGGGUCUGGGCUCGAGCCUGCCUGGAGCCGCCGCCGGUGCAGAUCUUGGUGGUAGUAGCAAAUACUCCAGCGAGGCCCUGGAGGACUGAUGUGGAGAAGGGUUUCGUGUGAACAGCCGUUGCACACGAGUCAGUCGAUCCUAAGCCCUAGGAGAAAUCCGACGCCUACGGCGACGGGAAAAAUUUUCUAAAAAUCGACCCGUUGAUCGGGCGAAAGGGAAUCCGGUUCCUAUUCCGGAACCCGGCAGCGGAACCGCUGUUUGUCGGGCCCUCACAAGGGGUUCGUCAGGGUAACCUAAAAGGGCCCGGAGACGCCGUCGGGAGCCCCGGAAAGAGUUUUCUUUUCUGCAUGAGCGUUCGAGUUCCCUGGAAUCCUCUCGCAGGGAGAUAGGGUUUGGAACGCGAAGAGCACCGCAGUUGCGGCGGUGCCCGGGAAUUCCCGACGGACCUUGAAAAUCCGGGAGAGGGCCACGUGGAGGUGUCGCGCCGGCUCGUACCCAUAUCCGCAGCAGGUCUCCAAGGUGAAGAGCCUCUAGUCGAUAGAAUAAUGUAGGUAAGGGAAGUCGGCAAAUCGGAUCCGUAACUUCGGG